GCUCAUAUUUUAUGUAUAUUUAACUGGUCUAAUAUAUUAUAAUAAGGGCUUACAUUGUUAUUUUUCGCGUUAAUUGCCCUGAAAUACAGUUAAUGGUAGGACUCCCUGAUGCUAAAAUUUGCUAUCAGUUCUUUUUUUAUUCUUUCCUAUUUCAAUAAUGUUCCUAAUCCUCGUAUUACGUUGAGUGCAUCACCCUGCAAUUUAUUGAUUACUCGUCGCUGAAAUGCGUAUUCUUUGAACGCGGUGUUCUUGAAGAGUCACAGGGAUAUUUCGACUUCUCGUAUGAAAGACAUAAGGUCCUUGUCGUCAUUGUCUCUGAGUUCUUUUAUCCUGUUGGCUUCCUUGACCUUAGUUGCUUCUGUCAUGAUUUCGUCGUUGCCGUUGCUUUCGUCACUCAAUUUUAGUUAAGAAUUCUGGAGUUACUUUAACUUAAAAAAACUCUUUUUUUUUAUGACAAUUAGCUUUGUUUAGGAUCGCUCAGUUUAAGGCAUUUUUACUUCAAAAUUACAUUUUGAAGUCCCUUAGUCUUUGCCAGUUAUCACAGUCACUUCCCCCAUAUAUGUUAGCUGUGGAGUUGACGCAACAUCGUAUGUCGCGCGAAACAGUCGGGCUCGAAGUCGUGCCCAGUUAACGUAACCCCGACCGCCAGGCCAGGUAGCGAAAAGGCAGCACCUUCGACCACCCAGGCACAAACCGCAAAGCGGAAGAGCGGGCAAAUCACGCCGCAGGAGCCCCCUAGUUCUACAAGGCUGAAUGGCAACAGCACGAAGGCAGCCGGAGCCAACCCUCCGCACCAAAUCCCCCUGCGUGUAGGAGAGACGGCGCAUGGAAGAGGUAUUCAGAGACCGUGAAUAAGCAGCGUCCUUUCAUGGGGUCGACUUUAAAAGCGGAACGAGAGGUCCGCUGUCUGGGUACGGAAGAUUGCUCCCAAGUUGGAAGGCCUGGAGGGCCCCAUCUUCUGCGCAAAAAGAGGGGAAAACAUACCUAUCAUGCACAUCAUGACGAUGUAUCUCCACAAGUGCGCAGGAAAACCGUACGAGUUUGUUAUUGGUCUGACCAAAAAUCAGAACUUGGGCCUCAGCAGGGGUAAUAAACAGCAGGGUCGAGAAAAACGGAUGGAGACUGAAUCUUUCUAUCGACGACGAGUCGUACAAAUACGUCCGUGGACCAAGCGUCCACCUGAAUUAUAGGUACAACUCGGUGGUAUUGAGGCCUUAUAAACCUACAACGGCCACCGGGAGCAGAGAAGAUGCUUGUGGAUGAGAUUUCCACUCAACCUAGCGUUUGCACGGCGGAACAGGCUACGACUGUUGCGGCGUCGGAAUUCCCUGACAAGAGGAGUUGCGUUCAAGGAGGGAAGCUACCCUCCAAGCAGGAACGCAUCAAGGGGCUAGGGAACCCAAUUGAUGGCAGCGCGGAUGACAGCGGGGUGGGCAGCGGCUCCUUAUUAAACCGAUCCUGUAGUGGCCGUCAACGUGAAAAUUGCCCAAGUAAUCCUCCUGAUCCAAGAGGUUAGAGGCCUCAAGAGUUCCCGAAACAGGAUCUAACAUCAACCCAUUUUCCGGUAUAGGCAUCCACAGCACCUCCAGAGGCUGUGGAUAGGUUAGUGAGUUACUGAAUGCGACACAAGUUGCCCCUAAUUCUAAGAUGUGUUACGAACGUCAAUGCGUUGCGGACUGCAACACACGAGCGACUUAUUCGGCCGGUAUCUUGUCAGCAGUUGAGCUACUUUUUUUUUGGCACCUCGGAAGACAGCCCACCACUCUAUUAUUUCUCAACAUUAUCUUAGAAUAUAGCUGAAAAUAUACCUUAUUAUAUUCAAAGAAGUUCGAAAUAUUUAAUCAGAUGAAUCGUUGAACAAAGCAUUGGAAUCUUAAAAAAACGGUGGAGAAUUUUAGGAUAUAGCAAGGGAGGAAGGUAUCACUCCACAAAAGUGGAAGAUUUAUAAAUGUUUGUGAGGCAGAUGUUAUGCAUAAAAUAUACAAUAAGUUACGACCCUUAAAAAAGCGAUUCUUAACACACACAAAAAAUGGACAUGUGUAGCGCAUCGCCUCACCGCAAUCGACCAACCGAUAAGAAACCAUAUAAUGAAUUCUUUAAUAAAUUUAAUUCAAAAAUGUAUACGUCCUUAACUUUGUAAAUAAUUUUAUUUUUAA
This 2156-nucleotide long non-coding RNA is filed under the name Bactrocera tryoni. RNAcentral describes it as "uncharacterized LOC120771777, transcript variant X2". The record is from RNAcentral. Lineage: Eukaryota; Metazoa; Arthropoda; Insecta; Diptera; Tephritidae.